Non-coding RNA from Myodes glareolus (Bank vole), 5352 nucleotides. The record is from RefSeq and is a predicted model, not a curated record. Lineage: Eukaryota; Metazoa; Chordata; Mammalia; Rodentia; Cricetidae.
CUAGCUAGAAGGGCGAGGCAGACCCGUGAAGGGGCGGGAGGUUCAGACGCCUCUGCCCGCAGGACUUGAGACUCCUGAGUAGCAGCGGGCAGCUGCCAGUAGGUCGGCAAUGCCUGAGGCUAGGGAAUCCCCGGGAGAGCCCUGAGCGCCACCUGCACCGCCUAGGAAGGACUACCAGAAGUUAGCCCCAGGGGUUCAGAGAAGCUCCCUUCUCUACAACAAUGGCUGGUGAUUCUAGGAACGCUACAAACAAAGACAUGGAGAUAGGAGUCACUUCCCAGGACCACAAGAAGAUUCCCAAGCAGGCACGGGAAUACAUCCCUAUCGCCACCGACCGCACUCGCCUGCUGGCAGAAGGCAAGAAGCCCCGCCAGCGCUACAUGGAGAAGAGUGGCAAGUGCAAUGUGCACCACGGUAAUGUUCAGGAGACCUACCGCUACCUAAGUGACCUCUUCACCACCCUGGUGGACCUCAAAUGGCGCUUCAACCUUCUGGUCUUCACCAUGGUCUACACCAUCACGUGGCUGUUCUUCGGCUUCAUUUGGUGGCUCAUUGCUUACAUCCGAGGUGAUCUGGACCAUGUGGGUGACCAAGAGUGGAUCCCUUGUGUUGAAAACCUCAGUGGGUUCGUGUCUGCCUUCCUGUUCUCCAUUGAGACAGAAACAACCAUUGGGUAUGGCUUCCGCGUCAUCACUGAGAAGUGCCCGGAGGGGAUCAUACUCCUUCUGGUGCAGGCCAUUCUGGGCUCUAUCGUUAAUGCCUUCAUGGUGGGUUGCAUGUUUGUGAAGAUCAGCCAGCCAAAGAAGAGAGCAGAGACCCUCAUGUUUUCCAACAAUGCCGUUAUCUCCAUGCGGGAUGAGAAGCUGUGUCUCAUGUUCCGGGUAGGUGACCUCCGAAACUCCCACAUCGUGGAGGCCUCCAUCCGCGCCAAGCUUAUCAAAUCCCGGCAGACCAAAGAAGGGGAAUUCAUCCCCUUGAACCAGACCGACAUUAAUGUGGGCUUUGACACUGGGGACGACCGUCUCUUCCUGGUGUCCCCGCUCAUCAUCUCCCAUGAGAUCAAUGAGAAGAGCCCUUUCUGGGAGAUGUCGCGUGCCCAGCUGGAACAGGAAGAAUUUGAGGUCGUGGUCAUCCUAGAGGGAAUGGUGGAAGCAACAGCCUAGCAGGAGAAGGACGUCUGAACAUGGUGCAGAGACCUGCUAGCUUCAAGUCACAUCCUGAGCUGGAUGGUUUUAUGUUAACUUGACACAAACUGGAAUCAUUUGGGAAGAGGGAACCUCAACUGAGAAAAUGCCCCUACCCGACUGGCCUGUCAGCAAGUCUGAGGGUCUAUCAGUCAACCCAGAAUUCAUUGAUUCAGCGAGACUGAGCCAGUUCUGGGAUCCUCGUACCUCUUUCUACCUCCCUAGCACUAGAAUAGAGACUCAUGGCAUCAUGUCCUGCUGCGUACGUGGGCUGGAGAUCUGAAGUCAGGUCCUCUUGUCGGCACAGAGCCUGAGGCAGGAAGACCGUGACUGCGAAAGAAACCUGGACAACAUACCAAGACUCUACCUAAAAGGAACUGAAAACAAAGCCAAACCAACUACAAACCAGCCGGGAACGGAAAUACCUGGCCACUGCAAUUGUGCAGAAUAAAGAGGCUGACCUGGGCCACCCACGGCAUCCGCCACAGGUGGCAACCACUGCACUGCUGUACCACCUACCCAUCUCAGCUAUUUCCUCUCGUGGUCCAUGCCCCGUGCCAGGUCCCAGCAGCAGGGCAAUGCAGGGAGCACUGACUUUCCUGCUAGAGUUUUGUGGUGACGUAUGCAAUCUUAAUUUUUAGAAGGUGCUAUCAUAGACUAUAAUGUAAAUGUCACGUGAGUUUUUAAAACUAAGUGUGAAUUUCCCCCAAACCCUCAUUAUUGACACUAGCUGCUUGGUGUGGACCAUCUAGAGCCUCUUUCAGCCAAGGGGAAAAGAUUGCCAAGCAGAGCUGAGGGUCAAUCAGGCCGCCCCGCAGAUUGUGACAGAUUGCAAGGAUCGGAUCUAAGGACUUGAGAGUGAUGCUGCCAGCAGCGAGUCCCAGAGAGUACACGAGCCUCGGGCACAGUGGUGGCAGCACCAGGGCUGACAUUCUUACUUCUGGGCUGGGACAACACCCAAAAAGUCAUUCUGCAAUUAGCACUGACUUAGCAUUUUGAGGUCCACUCUAAACAGUGUGGCAGAAGAGAGUGUAUGACAGGACAAGACUAAGCCAGGCCAAGUAUUCCCUGAGUUGUUCUUAAAGGAAAUGACAUUGAAUGUGAGCGCUGGAGAGAAUCAGGUAGGAAUUGAGAAAGAGGCAUGGAAGAAAAAAAAAAGCCUCAGAUAUGGGAGGCAGCUUGUGCCAAGGCCAGGGAGGAGAAAGUGCUCAGACUUGGCCAUGAACCAGGAAGAGAAGCGAGGCCACACAGGAUGGGUCUGGGCUCCAGAGGCGUUCCGGGCUGCCAGGCUAUGCUGGGGCUUCUGCGUCCAAAGCAGAUCUGCAGAAAGAGGGCUUCUGACAGCUUUAAAUAAGACUCGCAGUCCUGAAACAGGCCACUCAGUCAUAGUGUGGAGAGUGACUAAAGGAAGGACAGUAUGGCUACCGAGCAGUCAAUUAGGGGGCAGAGGUGUUAGCCCAGGAAGGGGACACUCACAGCUCAGGCCAGGGGAGGAUGGGAGGAAGCAGACCGCUUCAGGAGAAAGCUAAGAGGUGCGGUUGCAAGCAGGAAAGGAGGAAGAGGGGAGGAUAGAAUUCCUGGAUUUGUGCCUCAACAGCUGAUGUGACUGCAAGCCUUCUGUUACCACACAAACACCCACAGUAAAUCAACCUGUGAAGAAAAGUGGCUUGUGUUAGCUCAGUUUGGGAAGUUUCAGUCCAUCGCUGCUUGGUCCCAUUCUUUGGAGCCUGUGGCGACAUCUUAUUAAAGAAAGAAAUACAAAUCUAUCUUGGAGAGUUUGUUUGGGAGCCAAGUACGAGUGUCCACAGCUCGGGAAGUCAGAUUUAGUUGAUCCCAACUUCCAUGACCUCAGGCAGCGUCAGUUUAUAACAGAACAAAGAAAAUGAUAACCCAACAUGCUUUUCAAACACACAGCUGACUACAUCAGGUUGGCGUGUUCCGCUGCACGCUGUUACCAAACGCUGGCCUGGUUCAUCUACCGAAAGCUUCAUCCACCACCAACUGGCCUGUUCAUCAGUGUGGCGCUCCCUUCUUUGCAAGUCUAUCAGCACUUAGUCCUAGCAUAUGCUUAGAGACAGACAGCUGGCUAAUGAGACACACACACUUCUUACCCCUGGGACAGGGAUGACCUCGGGCAACUAAGAAACCUCGGCACAAAGCAAGGGUUCAGGAUGGCAGACAGGUAAAGGUUGGGCUGUUGCCAGGAUCCCUGCUUCCUGUCCUCCUCUGCUCAUCAAACCUGUGUCAACAAAGUUGGGCCCUAAUCUCAGAAACCAUUAGAAGGCACUGAGAACAAAUGAAGUAUGAGCCGCACAGCCGAGCAGACAUGUCCACCAUAGCCAGCAUUCAUCUCUUGCUCAGGAAAAAUAUCAGGGAAGAUGGGAGAGUGGAGAGUACAGCACUGUUUGGCGCCCUCCUGGGGAGGUCUGUGCCCAGACGAGGUUGAUUCACACCUUCGAAUGACCAGUCACAUCGGCCUCAGCAUUGGCACAGGGCAGGGGAGAUAGGAUGUGGAGCUGGCGAAGAGGGCUGUUGUUUCUAAAAGACUUAGGACAAUGUCUGAACCACAGUAAACGUAAGUGCUAGAUAGGAUGGUAAAACACCAGCAGCAGCAGCCAUCAUCCUCCCUCAACAGCAGGAGUUCAAGACAGAGGAGCCCAGAUGUGAUCUGUGCACUGACUGCUUUCCCGGGACUCUCUAUUGAUAAGUCAUGUGAACCCUGCCUUCUGUUUCUCUUCCUUUCACGACUUAGGGUACAGAAUCGUUGGGGGAUAGUGGACGACACCAGUAUUGUUUACCAAAUGCCAAGAGUAGUCUCUCCAGACAAGGCUGAUUUUCAGCUAAGGUGACAUCUUCCCUCCGGGAAUGUUCCCUAAGAUGCUGUGAUGGCUAUUUUUGUGCCAGCUUGUCUGGGACAGGAUCUGAAGACACAUGAUCAGAAACUAUUCCAGACUUUUCUGGUAGUAGAAAGUUGGGCUCUGUGGUCAGGGUUUAAGCAUGCGAAGAACCUGGUGUCUGUGAAGGGCCUUGCUGGAUGGGGUGGCUGUUUAAGUCAGCAAAUGCUGGAUAAAACACAUUGCCCUUCCUCUUGCAGGUGAGCCUCAUCUAGACAGCAAAGACCUAAAGAGCACAGAGCUCCGACCUAACCCAAGCCAGAAGGACUCUCCGGCAGACUGUCUGUGACUGGAACUCCAACACCAGCUCCUUGCUGGAUCGCCAGUCCACUUGCAAUGGUUUAGACUUACUAGCUUCCAGAACAUUCUAGGCUAGUUCUGCAGUUUUUGUAUACACACAUUCUACUGGGUAUUCGGCAGAAUCCUGGUGAAUACUCAGACAAAAUUCAGAUGGCUGGGAAAAUACAGAAUGAGGAACCCUAAACACCAACGUAGCCCAACACCCAAAGAAACAAGACCACUGCCUGCCCGACAGCAGGGUCUUUUGCUAGGUUGUGCUUCCACUCUGAUGAUGGCCAAGCACCCACUCAUGACCAGGACGGUGUGGAGCCUGAGGAGUCACAGACCCAGAAAGAGCAUAUUUUGUAUCUUACUGGAGCAGGAAGAAUUUCCUCCUUCUAACAGCCACGGAGUCCCUGUUCCUACCCAGACCUUGUUCUAGCCUUUGGGGAUGACAACAAUGUAAUGGAUUCCAGUGGCUCUACAGCACGGUCUGCUGAGGGCCCAGCAUUAUUCUGUGUAUAAACAAGAUGGAAGAAAAAGUCCUCAAGUUUCGCAGAUGUAGAAAUAGAAAGAAUGUACCUCAUAAUGAAUAAUAUAUGAGAAUGGCAAUAGUAGACAGGUAAGCCAGCCGCAGCACUUCGUGUAUGUUGACUCAUUUAGUGCACACAGCACAGCCUAGAGACAAAAUCCAUUGUCAUCCUACUUUAUGCAUUAAGACUCGUGAUUUCUACAGCCCCGGUAUCCCCAUGGGUGCUCAAAGCUUCCUAAGAAUAGGGCUAAGAUUUGAAACCAAAGCCUGGGGUUUUUCCACGAUCUCAGGAGUGAUACUGUUUAUUCCAAGUCUGUCCAUUGUCCAGCAUCCUGCUUAACAGUCCAUGGCCCAUUCUAGAAAGUUCUGUGACUGUCAGUCAGCAAGCCUGGCUGUGUCUACUCUCAAAUGUAUCAUUUGCAUUUUCUGAGAAAUAAAAUUAAAAUACAUCUAGAGCAGUUUA